This 524-nucleotide ribosomal RNA is filed under the name uncultured Diversisporaceae. RNAcentral's name for it is "SSU rRNA". It matches the Rfam family "Eukaryotic small subunit ribosomal RNA", at positions 569 to 1092 of the family's 1831-position model. Lineage: Eukaryota; Fungi; Glomeromycota; Glomeromycetes; Diversisporales. The record is from RNAcentral.
AGCAGCCGCGGUAAUUCCAGCUCCAAUAGCGUAUAUUAAAGUUGUUGCAGUUAAAAAGCUCGUAGUUGAACUUCGGGGUUUACCCAUUGGUCAGGCUUAAUUGUCUGUACUGGUGAGAUAAAUCUCUACCUUCUGAGGAACUUUCAUGCCAUUUAGUUGGUGUGAUAGGAAAUCAGGACUGUUACUUUGAAAAAAUUAGAGUGUUUAAAGCAGGCUAACGUCUGAAUACAUUAGCAUGGAAUAAUGAAAUAGGACGGAUUGGUUCUAUUUCGUUGGUUUCUAGGAUCACCGUAAUGAUUAAUAGGGAUAGUUGGGGGCAUUAGUAUUCAAUUGUCAGAGGUGAAAUUCUUGGAUUUAUUGAAGACUAACUAUUGCGAAAGCAUUUGCCAAGGAUGUUUUCAUUAAUCAAGAACGAAAGUUAGGGGAUCGAAGACGAUCAGAUACCGUCGUAGUCUUAACCAUAAACUAUGCCGACUAGGGAUCGGACGAAGUUAAUUUUAUAAUGACGCGUUCGGCACCUUACG